Molecule: ribosomal RNA, 1092 nt
Filed under: uncultured bacterium
Lineage: Bacteria
Description: bacterial SSU rRNA
Rfam family: Bacterial small subunit ribosomal RNA
Source: RNAcentral
GUUUGAUCCUGGCUCAGAACGAACGCUGGCGGCGUGGCUAAGACAUGCAAGUCAAACGGUACCGAUUAUUUAUAAUCGGGAUAGUGGCGAAAGGGUUAGUAAUAGAUAGGUAACGUACCCUGUGCUUCGGAAUAGCGUCAUUCGCCUUCGGGCGAAUUUCCGAAAGGGACGGUAAUACCGAAUAAUAUCAGUUGUCGAUGGGCAACUGAUCAAAGAUUUAUCGGCAUUGGAGCGGCCUAUCUCCUAUCAGCUUGUUGGUGAGGUAAUGGCUCACCAAGGCUAUGACGGGUAGCGGGACUGAGAGGUUGGCCCGCCACAUCGGGACUGAGACACUGCCCGGACCUCCACGGAGGGCUGCAGUAACGAAUCUUGUGCAAUGGGCGAAAGCCUGACACAGCGACGCCGCGUGUAGGAGGAAGUCCUUCGGGAUGUAAACUACUGUCAGGGGUAAGAAAGUGCGCUUCGGCGCAUUGAUCCAACCCAGAGGAAGUCACGGCUAACUUCGUGCCAGCAGCCGCGGUAAGACGAAGGUGGCAAGCGUUGUUCGGUAUUACUGGGCUUAAAGCGUGUGUAGGCGGAAAAGUAAGCGUUCUGUGAAAGCCCCCGGCUUAACCGGGGAAUUGCGCAACGAACUGCUUUUCUUGAGGCAAGUAGGGGUGCAUGGAACUCUUGGUGGAGCGGUGGAAUGCGUAAUAUCAAGAGGAACGCCAGUGGAGAAAUCGGUGCACUGGGCUUGUCCUGACGCUGAGACACGAAAGCGUGGGGAGCGAACGGGAUUAGAUACCCCGGUAGUCCACGCCGUAAACGAUGCCUACUAGGUUGUGGGGGUUCUGACACUCGCACAGCCGAAGCAAAAGUGCUAAGUAGGCCGCCUGGGGAGUACGGUCGCAAGGCUAAAACUCAAAGGAAUUGACGGGGGCUCACACAAGCGGUGGAGCAUGUGGAUCAAUUCGAAGCAACGCGUAGAACCUUACCUGGGUUUGACAUGCUUGGAUGCUUGCCUGGAAACAGGUUAAGCUGCCCUUCGGGGUGAAACUUGCACAGGUGCUGCAUGGCUGUCGUCAGCUCGUGUCGUGAGAUGUCGGGUUAAGU